RNAcentral lists this ribosomal RNA (425 nucleotides) under uncultured bacterium. RNAcentral's name for it is "partial 16S ribosomal RNA". It matches the Rfam family "Bacterial small subunit ribosomal RNA", at positions 354 to 796 of the family's 1533-position model. The record is from RNAcentral.
GUGAGGAAUUUUGCGCAAUGGGGGCAACCCUGACGCAGCGACGCCGCGUGGAGGACGAAGUCUUUCGGGAUGUAAACUCCUGUCAGUGGGGACGAUAAUGACGGUACCCACAGAGGAAGCACCGGCUAACUCCGUGCCAGCAGCCGCGGUAAGACGGAGGGUGCAAGCGUUGUUCGGAAUUACUGGGCGUAAAGCGUAUGUAGGCGGCAAGUUAAGUUCAAUGUUAAAGCCCACGGCUCAACCGAGGAGAUGCAUUGAAUACUGGCUAGCUAGAGGGUGUUAGAGGAAGACGGAAUUCGCAGUGUAGCGGUGAAAUGCGUAGAUAUUGGGAGGAACAUCGGUAGCGAAAGCGGUCUUCUGGGACAUACCUGACGCUGAGGUACGAAAGCGUGGGGAGCAAACGGGAUUAGAAACCCGGGUAGUCC